GCGAGAAAACUUUGCAAUGUGCGAAAGCACGACAAGGUUAAUCCGAGUGGUUUCUGCUAAAGAAACCUUUUGUCAGUCCUAGAAACACUAACGAAUAAGGGGUGGGCAAGUUCUGGUGUCAGCCGCCGCGGUAAAACCAGCACCUCAAGUGGUCAGGAUGAUUAUUGGGCCUAAAGCAUCCGUAGCUCGUUUUGUAAGUUUUCGGUUAAAUCCAUACGCUUAACGUAUGGGCUGCCGGGAAUACUGCAUAACUAGGAAGUGGGAGAGGUAGACGGUACUCGGUAGGAAGGGGUAAAAUCCUUUGAUCUAUUGAUGACCUCCUGUGGCGAAGGCGGUCUACCAGAACACGUUCGACGGUGAGGGAUGAAAGCUGGGGGANCAAACCGGAUUAGAUACCCAAGUAGUCCCUGAGCGGGCUGGCAAGGCGCAU
This 430-nucleotide ribosomal RNA is filed under the name uncultured bacterium. RNAcentral describes it as "bacterial SSU rRNA". It matches the Rfam family "Archaeal small subunit ribosomal RNA", at positions 339 to 776 of the family's 1478-position model. The record is from RNAcentral.